AUACUGUGAUUCUUGAGCAGAACGCAUCAAUCUUUCGCCUUUUACUAAAGAUUGCCGUGUUUAAGUUUCUCUCAGUGAACAAUUUUUCGGGCAAUGUAUGCCUAACAAAAA
Small nuclear RNA from Hylaeus volcanicus, 111 nucleotides. RefSeq annotates it as U5 spliceosomal RNA. The record is from RefSeq and is a predicted model, not a curated record. Lineage: Eukaryota; Metazoa; Arthropoda; Insecta; Hymenoptera; Colletidae. The transcript has a single exon.